GCCCAAGAGAUCGGGAUAACACCUGGAAACAGAUGCUAAUACCGGAUAACAACAGAUGAUGCCUAUCAACUGUUUAAAAGAUGGUUCUGCUAUCACUCUUGGAUGGACCUGCGGUGCAUUAGCUAGUUGGUAGGGUAACGGCCUACCAAGGCGAUGAUGCAUAGCCGAGUUGAGAGACUGAUCGGCCACAUUGGGACUGAGACACGGCCCAAACUCCUACGGGAGGCAGCAGCU
This 234-nucleotide ribosomal RNA is filed under the name uncultured Lactobacillus sp. Its description in RNAcentral is "partial 16S ribosomal RNA". It matches the Rfam family "Bacterial small subunit ribosomal RNA", at positions 128 to 355 of the family's 1533-position model. The record is from RNAcentral. Lineage: Bacteria; Bacillati; Bacillota; Bacilli; Lactobacillales; Lactobacillaceae.